This 473-nucleotide ribosomal RNA is filed under the name Agrococcus sp. m9. RNAcentral describes it as "bacterial SSU rRNA". It matches the Rfam family "Bacterial small subunit ribosomal RNA", at positions 26 to 512 of the family's 1533-position model. The record is from RNAcentral. Lineage: Bacteria; Bacillati; Actinomycetota; Actinomycetes; Micrococcales; Microbacteriaceae.
AGGAUGAACGCUGGCGGCGUGCUUAACACAUGCAAGUCGAACGAUGAAGCAGAGCUUGCUCUGUGGAUUAGUGGCGAACGGGUGAGUAACACGUGAGUAACCUGCCCUUGACUCUGGGAUAAGCACUGGAAACGGUGUCUAAUACCGGAUACGACCCUCGGAGGCAUCUCCAGGGGGUGGAAAGAACUUCGGUCAAGGAUGGACUCGCGGCCUAUCAGCUAGUUGGUGAGGUAAUGGCCCACCAAGGCGACGACGGGUAGCCGGCCUGAGAGGGUGACCGGCCACACUGGGACUGAGACACGGCCCAGACUCCUACGGGAGGCAGCAGUGGGGAAUAUUGCACAAUGGGCGCAAGCCUGAUGCAGCAACGCCGCGUGAGGGACGAAGGCCUUCGGGUUGUAAACCUCUUUUAGUAGGGAAGAAGCGAAAGUGACGGUACCUGCAGAAAAAGCACCGGCUAACUACGUGCCAGC